Molecule: long non-coding RNA, 3693 nt
Organism: Lycium ferocissimum
Lineage: Eukaryota; Viridiplantae; Streptophyta; Magnoliopsida; Solanales; Solanaceae
Exons: 4
Source: RefSeq, a predicted model, not a curated record
AACGACCACAUCUCAACGAAGGGAUGUGAAUCCGGUCGUUAUAAGUAUACCUACAGCGACUAUAGAUUUUUGCAGUCGUUAAAGUCAAAUAUUUGCUUAAAAACAGCGAAGGGAUAAUAUCUGGUCAAUAAAAACCAAAAAAUCCUGUCGUUAUUUCCAACACAUGAAUAAAAAAAGAGCGCCAGGCUUCUUUACAUUUCCCACAUUUUUUUCUAAAAUGUUUCUGCCCCUUCUAUGCCAAAAUCCCUAACUGCCACCUCCCAUCUCUUUUAGGUCCUGAUACCUUGCACUUCAGUAUUUCGAAUCCAACUCCAAAAUAGGAGGAAGCUCACACGGUUUUGGUGAAGAUUAUUAUGUAUGACAGAGGCAUGUCUAAGGGCCUUUAGUUUGCCUUCUCUGGUCUAAGGGCACUACCAAAUAAACGAGAUAUGUUCAUUUUUUUGCUAGUUUUUGGUUAAUUCUUCAGUAUCUGAAUGAAUUAGUGUUUGUCUAUCUGUGAGAAGUUGUGGCUCUCCCUCUAAUGUCACAUUAUUCAGGUUUGUUAAAGUUGAUAAUUUUUCCCUAGUGUGAAAUGGAUUGGUUUUGUUUAAUUGAACUAUUUCAGUCUGAUGAUUUUUUUUUGUAUGUGUGUUUAUUGUCCAAUUUGAGGCCAAUUCUCGGUUCUGUGUAUUUGUUGUACGCUGUGGAAAAUUUGAUUUUUUCCUUUUGGAAUUUGGUAUGCUGAAUAUUUUUUCUAGAAAUAGUGGAGUAUGCAUGUCUGCAGAUGCAUUUGCCUUAAAGGGCAGAAUAGUAAAUUGUGAGGGUUGUCUUCUAAGUUCAUUCAUCUUUAAUUUGUGAAGAAAGGACUGUAUAUUUAUGCGCUCAAAUCUCUUUACUUUACUCUAAUAUCAUAAUGCCUUGAAUCCUGGGCACUUUCCAAUUUUGCGAAACAGUAGAUUGAUAGAUAUCUCAUAUGAUUUUAAAAAAUGAAGAUUUUCAUGAUAUUCUUUGGAUAAGUAACUGAAAUUUCUUUUGAAUUAAUAUGGAAAAUUUUGUUCUUAACCUCUGUGUGGUUCUAUAAAUCUAUUAUAUUUGAAUGAAUGAGAAGUCUAGGAAAGAUCCCAAGAGGGUUAUGAGUUGUAUUUACCAUCCGCAAAAUUGAGUGUCAAUAUAUUAAGCCUUUGAAAGCUAUUAGAUAGCCUCUUUACUAUUUAAAAGAUGCGUGUGUUCUAAUUAGUACUAGCUUGAUGUAAGAUAAGAAGUGACUUUUAGCAUAUUAACACUAGAGUGGAACUUGUUUCAGAGAUUGUAGUUAGAGGUAUGUACACAUAAUUGGUGAAACAAUACGAAACAAUACGAAUUCUAAACAAGUAAAGUUUAACGUAGUGUGAAAGUGUUUCCCAUUUCUUUCUUGUUGGUGCAUCAUGUUAGGUUACAUGUUAAUUUCUUUAUGUUCAUUGCUUUUUCAUAUAAUCCUCAAUCAUUCAGCACUUAGUUAAUUAUUUAUGGUUGUUGUAACUCAUCAACAUGGAGAAAUCAGAGUAGUUUAGAUGCUAAAAUGGUGCCACCGCCUAAUUUUCAUUGUGUUCUAUCAAACUAAACCAUUAAAUUUGGAAGGACAGAAAAGUAAUAAAAUAUAGCGAGCAACGAUCAAAUUUAUAACAUUCUGUAAUAGCCAAAAUGCUUCAGAAACUUCCACAGGUUCCAAAAAGCUCCUUCAAGCCAGCAAAGAAUGUCAAAAGUCUGGUCUACUUGGAUUGUUGUGUUCAUGUCAUUUCAUUUCACUAAAAUGUAUUUUAACACUUACCAUAAUCAAUGAAGUUUAAAUUUGGACUCUCCUAAGUUUGUUGGACAGUAAAAGUAUUUCUAUUAGUUAAAAUCUUAUAAGGUGUUUUUGUUUCUUAUCUUUAUCACUUUUCUACCUUUGCAUAAUAGUAAUUACAGACAUUAUUGAAACGCAAAACUGAAUGCUUGAAGUAUGAAUGAUAGAGAGAGGAGUCUAGUAGUUUAAGUAAUUCGAGUUCAAGCUAAGGAUCUCUAAAAUGAACAAUAAUUUGUUUUCCUAUAUUCAUUUUUUAUUGUAUUUUCUCUGUGUAAAUAUAUGAGCAGGCAAUAAUUUAUUGAAGUUUGAAAUUUCAGCUAUGCAGAUUAAAUUCCUUACACUAUUUAUGUCUGUUCAGCUUCAUGAUCAACUGCAAAAUAGAUAGAUGCAUGGAGGAAUUUUUUUCUCCAACGAUAGCUCUCAGGUUGGUAUAUACAUAUCUCCAUUCACUAUAUGAGUUGCUUCACGUUAUUUCUUGAAUACCAAAUUUUACAUACUUUAAUUGAAUAAAAGUUUCUCAAUCGAGAAAUCCUCUGUGGCUAUGAAGUCGUUCUGCAAGCGCUCGUCUGAUUGCUUGGAGAUGCAUUUACUGUCCUUUGACAUAAACAUUAGGAAACAUAAGAUCUUUCGUAGAUGCAGAUGUUUUUGGAUACUCAAGCAGUAAAGACUAUUUUGCUGGAAGGUCCUUCCCUCUGAAAACAAGUAAGAUUUCCAGCAUUUCAGAAGUGUAGAUCCUUCUUUUGUUUUCUUUUUCUUUUCUUUUUUGUUGUGUGUUUUAUUAAAUUUUAAACUGGCAUUUUGUCCCCAGCACUUUCAUCCUCUUUAACAUUUCCAUUUUUAUACCUUGAGGCAAGCACAUGUUUUCACUUUAUUCCUGAAGUAAGAUUCAGUUUCGAUGAAAUAAAGUGACUAAUAGUUGAAACUGUCAAUAUGAUUGGUCCUAGAAAGCUAAACAAGCAAAGGUGACUGUUGCUUGUUCGAAAUAUUUAGUCUCCUGAUGAAUAUGAAACUACAUUGUUACAGAAAAAGUAGUUAUAAUAUCUCUAAAUCCAUCGCAGAAAGUCUUCUCUAUUGUCACUAGUAUCAGAGGCUAGAUACGCCUUUGACUAGUAUUUUAUGCGCUGAGUUUGCCUUCUUGAAAUAAUUGGCUCCACCAAAAGCCUUUAUGCCAACUCUCUAAAUGCCCUCGGUACAAUAGUUUAAAACAAGAAUAUUGGCUUAAACUUUUUUGAGCUUCUCCAAUUUGUACAGAUAGUAGGUCGCUAGCUAUUCAAAAUUUGUUAGUUGUGAGAUGAGCAAAGCAGAAGCAUUAUUGAAGGCCAGUGAUUGAUGAGUGCUUGUCUGAAAUGAGGCUCUUGUAUUCCUUCCUCUGGAUAGUAUACUGACUUUGCUUUGUGAAAUAGUUCAUACUGUCUCCAAUAGAUUCUGCGGCGGAUACAUACUGUGCGCAGCUGCCAGAGGGAACGCUCUCAGAGUUUCAACGUCUUUUGGAGCUAAGAGUUUCUCUUAGUCAUACACUCUAUGGCAGAAGACGACUACAUACGUUACAGGAUUCUCUUGAAACAAAGUUGGGAAACACUAAAGGUUGUGGCUAAAGUGUACUUGUAUCCUAAGUAGAAUAAACUACUCAGCGACGUGCAUAUUUAUCCACCUACGCUGUAUAUGCUUUAUCGAUACAAUGCUCCAAUUAAGAAUUUGAAAGUUGAAGAACUGACGUGCACCUGAAGAGAGUGAAGCACAGAUGAGCAAGUGAAAAUGAAAGAACAAGUUGAAGCGCAAUACAAGCCUAACUUCUGUUUUGUUAGGAGUUAUUUGAAGAUGUUCUCAUUUGUACAUGCGACAAUUUUAUUCUCUUUUAUUAGUAGUUGAUACUAAAAUGUCAUAUUUUUUUU